UAGUCUGUUCACUUUAGAAAUACUUGGAUCACCCACUCAGUAGGUAAAAGGCAACAUAUUAAGCUCCAUGUUAAAUAAAAAGCUAAAUAAAGGUAAACAGUUUCUUCUAAUAGUGAAUGAUAGUGGAUCCAAAUCAUAUUUUAUGUAAUGCCUGUCCCUGCCCCUUCCCUUAGGAGAUGGAAGUAGACAUAGGGGCUGGAGAGGCAGGUUGUCAUAGUUUUAAUUUCCCUUUGUAGCCAUUUAUUGGAAACAAAUAUGUAGAACCAGCUGUGCUUGUGCAACCUGACCUAUGCAGUCAGAAUUAAGAGCAGACUAGUCAAGUCUGUAACAUUCUCUUCUCUUUCUCUUGCCACUUUGGGCAUAAGAACCUUGACUUCAACAGUCGUUUGUGUUCACCUAACUCAAAUAUCUAUCUGCAACAGCAUUCAAAGGGGCUAUGAAGUGGCGAUAUUUAUAAAAGGAGUUGAAAGGCUGAGUUGGCUAGAAUAGACGGUACACAAGAAUGUCUGCAGAGAGCCUAAACACAAAGACGGUGGCCUGGAGUUGUUUGCCAGGAAUUGGAGUCAGCUGUGUCUAGUUUGAGCUGAGCUGGUUACGAUCGGAUAGCAGCACGGACCCUGUAACUGGGCAUGCGCCGGUGUCUGAUCUGAUGUCUGACAUCGAAAGUGACCUUUUGAUGUUGGCGGGCUGAGAACUCCAUCCUCAGGCGGUGGCCGAGUAAUACAUUGCCCCGAAACUGAUAAGCCAGGAGGCUAAAGAAGUAUGGAGGCAGUCCGUCAGGAAUCUUGCAAAGAAGGCAGCUCUCAGUAGACAGUACUGGAGAUUUUUAUGAACCAUUUUUAGUUCUGUGAAUUGAAGAGACCUCGCCCCUUUUCUACCUCUUUCUGCUGACAGCUGCUCCUGAACACCUCCCUCCCAGCCGGGAGGGCAGCCGGAUGGCUGCCUGUGCAGCUAACGCCAGGAUGGCUCCUGAGCGAGCAUCCAGGGUAUCAGUUUCCUCCUGGAGACUCACGUGUCACCUUCACGUCUCGUGUAUCUUCCAUCAUUUACGUGAAUAUAUCAAGGGCUCUGGUAGAGGCACCAGGCUAUGAAAGCGCAGUCUAACCGGUGGCUGGGAACAAAGGCCGCCUUCAGCUACAAAUGAUUCACUAUGGUGUUGAGACUUUUUUCCCUCCACGAUGACUUUGAAUCCUAAAGAUUAAAUGAGUGUGCUUCCAUUCGCAGAAAAUAAAAGUGAAGGGAUAGCCUAGGAAAAGAAUUACUCUAAAAAAAAUACUGAUUUUAAGAACCAAUUUAGAAAAUUACAAAGGUUUCACAAGGAUGUAGGGUGUACUUGUAAUGGCAGGAGGAAGAUUUAUACCCAACUCUUCUCACAGAUGCUACUGUAACUUAUCAUCCUCAGAUUACUUAGUUUCCAUCAGAAGAUAUCACUAUCUGAUCAGUCUCAUCAUUUCAUAUUGGGUGGCAGUAUGGACAAAGUUAGAGUGAAUUAUUUGAAAGGUCAUGUGACUAUAUCUAACAGAUAUUUAAAAAUAUUUUGUGUGGUUCAUUAGCCAGUUUAAUACAGUGGGUUAACAAAGAAGUUCUAUAGUUCAUCUCUGGAAAAUUGAAACAUGGCUCUUACUUUUCAACCAUUAUUAAAUUAAAAAUAUCAAAAUAUUUUUAAGAAGAUGCAUGUUUCCAGCACAUUCUAUGUCCUUGGGAAGCAAAUAAUAAUGAACAGGAUUAGGAAAUAAUUUCAGAGAAGACAAUGGAACCCCACUCCAGUACUCUUGUCUGGAAAAUCCCAUGGAUGGAGGAGCCUGGUGGGCUGCAGUCCAUGGGGUCACUACGAGUCAGACACGACUGAGCGACUUCACUUUCACUUUUCACUUUGAUGCAUUGGAGGAGGAAAUGGCAACCCACUUCAGUGUUCUUGCCUGGAGAAUCCCAGGGACUGGGGAGCCUACGCUGCCGUCUAUGGGGUCACACAGAGUUGGACACGACUGAAGUGACUUAGCAGCAGGAAAUAAUUUAUACUGAAGUAUAUAACCCUGAGAUGGCGGUGGAUCAGCCCCACCUCUUUUGACCUUGGCCCCUUUAGAGGACAGCCUGGUUUCAACCAAAGUAACCUUGAACUUGGGGAGAGGCUGCAGCCCAGAGACACAGAAUAGGUGUCGUUGGUGCUAAUUCACUGUGCUUAUGCACUGGCGAGCUACAGUCCAUGGGGUCACAAAGAGUCAGACAUGACUGAGCAACUAACACUUUCACUUUAUGCACAGUUUAUUAAGGAAACUUUCAGAUUAUGGAAAUAUUUGACAGUUUCUUCUAGAUAUUCUGUGGCUUCCGUGGUGGCUCAGACGGUAAAGCGUCUGCCUGCAAUGCGGGAGACCUGGUUCGAUUCCUGGGUUGGGAAGAUCCCCUGGAGAAGGAAAUGGCAAUCCACUCCAGCACUCUUGCCUGGAAAAUCCCAUGGACGGAGGAGCUUGAUAAGCUACAGUCCAUGGGGUUGCAAAGAGUCGGACACAACUGAGCAACUUCACUUUACUUCACUUCUAGAUAUUACGAUUCUUCUUCAAAUAGGAUUCUUUUUCAUAUAUUUAAUAUGGUAUUUAAAAGUUGUCAGUAGAGAAAACAUGCUAAAGUCUGAAUACAAGAAAAUAGUUCACAGUAAAGAACAAUUAUAUACUGAGUAUAAUUUGAAAAAUAUUUGAAUAUUAAACUUGUCUUCAUUAAUAUCAGUUACAGGUCCCAAGGAAUAUGUCAUGAUCUCUUCAUUAUUCUACUUUAAACUCACAAUAUUAUCUCCAGGGGAAUUUUAAAAACAUUUUAUCAGGAAGCUUGCUUCUAAGUUGUUUGGUCAGGUCUGUCUUUCGUAAAGUUAACAGUUUCUAAAUAUUUCCAGAUUUGGCUGUCUGAUACCAGAACAAUUACAAAAUAUUUUCGGUAAUACUAUGUCAACAAGGUCUUUGGUAUUAUUAAAACAGGCAUCUAUUAACUGCUUUAAAAUGCUGAAGAUACUAAAAAUAGUUCAAAUUAACUCAAUUAAAACUAAGGACCUAUUCAUACAGUACUAUUUUAUACAUAAUAUUUAUUGAAGACUUACUAUGUUCCAAGCACCUUUCUUUCAGGGCCAUUCAUGUAUUAUUUCAUUUAAUCCUCAAAAUAAUCCAGGGUAAAAAUUAUAAUUUUAUGUCCAUUUUAUAGACAAGGAAACUGAGGCAUAGGCAGGGUAUGUAACUUGUUUCAAGGCACGUAGUUGAUAAGUAGAAGAUGUGGUAUAAAAUCCCAGGUAGCUUGAUGCUGUGCUCUUUGCCCUUGUACUUUAUUAUAUUGCCUCAUAUUAGUUAAUGUUCAUUCAAAAACUGUAUUAAGAUAUGAGACUGCAACCAGUGUAAGAUUCCUUGACAGGAAAAGCAAAGAUGUUUCUGUAAAUCAAUGUUCAUAGCAUCAUCCUCUGUCCCCCAUCACUCACCUUGGCGCUUGGUAGCAGAGUGAGGAAUACACCGUGUCUCCAUGAGCAGAGCUUCAUGGCACCCAGUUCGCAUGUGGGAUCGCUAAAUUCCAAGGCACAGAAGUAACAAUUCCAUAGAAAAUAGGCACCUUUAUAAUUUCUUACAUAUUAGUGAAAUUUCUACAUUUUCAAGAGCAGAUGAUACAUUUAAUUAAAAUAUUGACCUUGAUAUCAAGGAUAGUAUUACAUGCUGAAAUUACAUAUUAAAAUAGAUUGUGGGGGGCUUUUUUUGGGAGGGAAUAUUUAUUGCAACUUCACUUUUUGAUUAAAAUAGAAAAGAAAUCCUCCGAAAAUUACUUUGAUAAAACGGACUUCAAGUUAAAAUCCACAUGAAUCAUGUUGGGUUUUUCAGGAAGAAUCUUGUUUUGGCCUAAAUGAUACCCGAGAUCAACUUAGACCUUCCUACAUUUUUAACGUGAUGGAAGUGCAGUGGUCUCUCAGCUGGUGUCAGAGAGGAAGUACUUUCAGGAAGACUUUGUCUACCAGAGUUAGACCCAGGGAGCAUGGUAGCCUGAAGUCUCCUUGUCUCCUCGGUCUGCUCUUGGUUCUUUAUCACCAGAAAGGCUAGAAAGCAGAAAAAGUGAAAGUUUCUUCUGAACAGAUUCUUUUCAUUACAGACUUCAGAAAUGUCGGAAAGCUAGCAUAGGGCAAUUCGUAUCCCGAAUUCUUUUUUGCUGUAAUAACACGCAGCAACUAAAAUCUUAACAUUUUUGUCAGAUGUGAAAAAACAUACAAUCUUAUUGUUUCUCACAUUUGGUGUUUUUCGGGGGUGGAGGAAUCAAUUAUUUUGUCUUUAGAAGCUGUAAAAUAAAAUUCCAAUAAAAUCCAUGUUACACAUCUAUGCAAACCAAUAAAAAGAGAAUAUUUGCAUGUGUCCUAUUAAUCAAAACCAGUUUCCCGCAAUUCUAAAGACAUAUUCUUCAAGGAGUUUUGCUUAAUCUUCCCUAUCCAAGUUAAAUGGUCAUACUUGGGAAUAUAUGUUUUGUACAUAUAUGCACACAUACAACAGAAAAUAGUUGGGUUUUAACUAUCAGAUAUUUUAGAGGUCAGCAAUGACGACUUUUUUUCCACUUAGGUCUUUAAUUCAAUCUAGUAUUAUACAUGUUUUCUACUCACUUCUGUAGAGACCAGUGUAAACAUUUGGAAGGCAUUUUGUAUGGCAAGUUUGUGUAUUGCAGUUUUUGAGCAAUGCAAACAUCCCCCUUAAAUAAAUGAAAACAGAUCCCAGAAAAGGGUAUGCUUCCAACGCAUUCCCCAAAGAUCUGAGUGCCGCUGUGCAUUCUUGCUCAAUUUAAACAAACUAAACUUCAGUUAGUCUCCCCUCCCCUAAUGGGCACCCCCACUGGGAACAUUGUUAGGUUACCACCAUGGCCAAGGCCUCCGUAC
Molecule: long non-coding RNA, 4879 nt
Organism: Bos taurus (domestic cattle)
Lineage: Eukaryota; Metazoa; Chordata; Mammalia; Artiodactyla; Bovidae
Source: Ensembl